CUGGAAUUGCUAGUAAUCACAGGUCAGCAUACUGUGGUGAAUACGUUCCCGGGCCUUGUACACACCGCCCGUCACACCAUGAGAGUUGAGAAUACCCGAAGCCCAUGUCAAAGUGGUCGAAGGUAGGCUUGAUGAUUGGGGUGAAGUCGUAACAAGGUAAC
RNAcentral lists this ribosomal RNA (161 nucleotides) under uncultured bacterium. RNAcentral's name for it is "partial 16S ribosomal RNA". It matches the Rfam family "Bacterial small subunit ribosomal RNA", at positions 1326 to 1500 of the family's 1533-position model. The record is from RNAcentral.